RNAcentral lists this ribosomal RNA (468 nucleotides) under uncultured bacterium. RNAcentral's name for it is "partial 16S ribosomal RNA". It matches the Rfam family "Bacterial small subunit ribosomal RNA", at positions 28 to 507 of the family's 1533-position model. The record is from RNAcentral.
GACGAACGCUGGCGGCGUGCUUAACACAUGCAAGUCGAACGGAAAGGCCCUGCUUUUGUGGGGUGCUCGAGUGGCGAACGGGUGAGUAACACGUGAGUAACCUGCCCUUGACUUUGGGAUAACUUCAGGAAACUGGGGCUAAUACCGGAUAGGAGCUCCUGCUGCAUGGUGGGGGUUGGAAAGUUUCGGCGGUUGGGGAUGGACUCGCGGCUUAUCAGCUUGUUGGUGGGGUAGUGGCUUACCAAGGCUUUGACGGGCAGCCGGCCUGAGAGGGUGACCGGCCACAUUGGGACUGAGAUACGGCCCAGACUCCUACGGGAGGCAGCGGUGGGGAAUAUUGCACAAUGGGCGGAAGCCUGAUGCAGCAACGCCGCGUGCGGGAUGACGGCCUUCGGGUUGUAAACCGCUUUCGCCUGUGACGAAGCGUGAGUGACGGUAAUGGGUAAAGAAGCAGCGGCUAACUACGUG